UAAGCAUCACAAUAGUUAAUAUCCUGUAUGUGGCCUUAUACUGAUAAUAACGUGUAGUAUGCACCGGGCUUUAUACUUUUUGGUUGUUGUGUUUAUGGUCAUUUUAGUUUUAUAUAGAGAACUGUCAGAUUUUGGCGGAAUGCCGUCGACCGAUAUUAUGUACGAUGUGAUCUUAGUUAAUACGGUGUAUCGAUGUAAUAAAAGAAAUAUUAACUGGAUGCAGUGGUUUGUAUGAUAAACCCCAUUUACUGAGCUUUAAAUCAAUGGACUUCUACAUCUCAGAAAGCGGGAUUAUGAAUUCAAAUGCCCACAUAGAUAUUGGAUGCACUUAAUUUAUUUUCACUUGUAUAGAGGUGCAUAAAAAUGUAAGUUGCUUGGUCUUUUAAAUGUUUGUUUCAAAGUCGAAACAGUUGAGUUGAUAGUAUAUAAAUGAUACAAGAUUUCAUUAGCUUGUUUGUUUUGCUAGCUAAAGAGAACGAUUGACAGUUCGUUUCGUUUGCAUAAAUCAAAAGUUUUGUUUUAAAUUUUCAAUGUACUGUACAUAGUUACAUACAUUUGCUAUGGUAUUGACCUAUUUAUUAACCCGUGUUCUUGUCAUUGUUUGUUUUCGGUUUUGUGAGAUGAGACGGAAUACAAUGAGAGUAGAUCUCGAAAAUACAAGCGCAAGCAAUCAACCAUCAACUUUCUGGUGAGACAAGAGCCAUACUUAAGAGCCUGUGACAUGGUUAUGAAGGAAGGCAACGCGGUAAGGAUGGCAUUGUGCAGUGCAAGUGCUCAGUGAAUCUAGUUAUUAACACUGAGUUGUAUAAUGACAUUCUUUGAUGAUAAGCGAGGGUCUCGCAGCAAGAGCUGACUAAAGCAAAGAAGGUUAAGCUAUUACAUGGUGCUGUCAGCAGUGGGGCAGGGUCCAAGCUGCCGAUGGCCAGGGCCGCUGAGUGAGAAACCGGCGUACUAUACACGCCGUGUCCAGGAUAUAGCAAUCUGCAUCUGACCAGCGAGAGUCUCUGAGUGUUGGGUUGGUCAGUUUGGCAGACUGUCUAGUACAGGCCGUAAUGGCAGACUGUCUAGAGCAGGCCAUGACUGUUUAUUAUGUUAGUUUAUACUUUGGCUGACUAUCUAGAGCAGGUCCUGAUGGCAGACUGUCUAGAGGCCAUAAGUAGGUAUAUAUGCUGUUAAGGUACUUGUAAUAUGAGAUACUUGUAAUUUGUUUGAAUUGAUAUUUGCGGUUAGUUGUAUUUUAUAAUUGUUGAUGUGUUUUUUUUUAAUUGUAUGCAAAUUCCAUGUUGACGUGUAAAAGUGCCCUUGUGGCCUAUUUGCUGAAUAAAUGUUGAAAUUGAAGAAGUUGGCCUUGUUGCCUGAUUCAUUAUAUUCGUUUAUACUUUGACAAACUGCCCAGAGUAGGCCUUGAAGGCAGACUGUCUAGAACAGGCUAUGAUAGCAGCCUGUCUUCUAGAGCAGGCCGUGAUGGCAGACUGUCUAGACUAAUCUAGUCUGAAGCAGGCCAUAACAAAUUAAAUCAGUACAAUGAUUAGGUGUGAGGUUUGGCAGACUGUCUAGAACAGGCUAUGAUAGCAGCCUGUCUUCUAGAGCAGGCCGUGAUGGCAGACUGUCUAGACGAAUCUAGUCUAGAGCAGGCCAUAACAAAUUAAAUCAUUACAAUGAUUAGGUGUGAGGUUUGGCAGACUGUCUAGAAUAGGCUAUGAUAGCAGCCUGUCUUCUAGAGCAGGCCGUUGUGGCAGACUGUCUAGACUAAUCUAGUCUAGAGCAGGCCCUAACAAAUUAAAUCAUUAAAAUGAUUAGGUGUGAGUUUUGGCAGACUGUCUAGAACAGGCUUUGAUAGCAGCUUGUCUUUUAGAGCAGGCCGUGAUGGCAGACUGUCUAGACCAGUCAAGUCUAGAGCAGGCUAUAACAAUUUAUACUUUGGAAUGAUGUCUAGAGCAGGCCUUGAAGGCAGACUGUGAUUGUUUAUGAUGUGUUAUAUUUUGUUAAAAUUCCUAGAGCAGGCCUUGAGGGCAGACUGUGAUUUUUGAUGUUGAUUUAUACUUUGCCAGACUGUUUAGAGCAGGCCUUGAGGGCAGACUGUGAUUGUUUGUGGUUAUGUAUUAUAUUUUGCCAAACUGUUUACAGCAGGCCUUAAGGGCAGACUGUGAUUGCUUCUGAUCAUGUUAUAUACGUUUUCAAACUGUUUAGAGCAGGCCUUGAGGCAGACUGUGAUUGUUUAUGAUCAUGUAUUUAUACUUUGCCAGACUGUUUAGAGCAGGCCUUGAGUGCAGACUGUGAUUGUUUAUGAUCAUGUAUUAUACUUUGUCCAACUGUUUAGAGCAGGCCUUGAGUGCAGACUGUGAUUGUUUAUGAUCAUGUAUUAUACUUUGCCCAACUGUUUAGAGCAGGCCUUGAGUGCAGACUGUGAUUGUUUACGAUCAUGUAUUAUACUUUGCCAAAUUGUUUAGAUCAGGCCUUGAGGGCAGACUGUGAUCGUUGAGGUUGGUUUAUACUUUGGCAGACUGCCUAGAGCAGACCAUGAUUGUAAGUUAGUUCAUAUAUUCUUUCUUUUUUGAGUUCUUUAUUUAACAUAAUUUAGUACAAUGUAAUUACUUAAUCUAGUGUACAUUUCCAUCCUAGACAGUAAUAACAAUAAAUUAAUACAGUUUAGUGAGCUAUAAGCGCUCAUUAUAAACUUUUUAAAAACUUAGUGUUUAUAACAUUGCCAUGGGUAAAAUCAUACUUACACUAAAGCUUAGAACAGCAGCAUAACUAUUAUUACGUUCGCUCAGAUAUAGCUUACGUUUGUUGCAUACAUAAUAACCACCUAUAAUUAAAACAUUUAACGAUUAAGCUAAACUAACAAAUUUGAUAUAGUUUAUAAUUAUAACGUAUACAAAUACACAUGAGUUCAUAUAUUGAAAGACUAUCUAAAGAAGGCUGUUAAUGCUACCAGGUGUUGGUUGUAUUCAAUGACUGUUUACAUGAUCUCAGAUUCAAGCAUGUUAAGCGUUAAUAUUUAUUUCUCAAUAAGGCUAAAGGUUAUUAUUGGCUAUGAUUGAUUCAUGUGAGCCCAUACUGUGCAUAAGAAGUGUACUGUGUAGAAGUUUACAAAUACUGUUGUUGUGAAUGUUUAUCUUUGAUAUCGAUAAAGGUGUUACGAUAUAUUGCUGUUGUUAUUAAUGUUUAUAAUUACUUUUAGUGAGAGGGCUCACUUUUAAAAAAAAAGGAUGGCCGAAGCUGUAAGCAUCACAAUAGUUAAUAUCCUGUAUGUGGCCUUAUACUGAUAAUAACGUGUAGUAUGCACCGGGCUUUAUACUUUUUGGUUGUUGUGUUUAUGGUCAUUUUAGUUUUAUAUAGAGAACUGUCAGAUUUUGGCGGAAUGCCGUCGACCGAUAUUAUGUACGAUGUGAUCUUAGUUAAUACGGUGUAUCGAUGUAAUAAAAGAAAUAUUAACUGGA
Molecule: long non-coding RNA, 3443 nt
Organism: Cydia pomonella (codling moth)
Lineage: Eukaryota; Metazoa; Arthropoda; Insecta; Lepidoptera; Tortricidae
Exons: 2
Source: RefSeq, a predicted model, not a curated record